UACGGAGGGGGCAAGCGUUGUUCGGAAUCAUUGGGCGUAAAGGGCGCGUAGGCGGCCGUCCAAGUCGGGUGUGAAAUCCCUCGGCUCAACCGAGGAAUUGCACUCGAUACUGGUUGGCUAGAGUCCGGGAGGGGAUGGUGGAAUUCCCAGUGUAGCGGUGAAAUGCGUAGAUAUUGGGAAGAACACCGGUGGCGAAGGCGGCCAUCUGGACCGGAACUGACGCUGAGGCGCGAAAGCCAGGGGAGCGAAUGGG
RNAcentral lists this ribosomal RNA (253 nucleotides) under uncultured bacterium. RNAcentral's name for it is "partial 16S ribosomal RNA". It matches the Rfam family "Bacterial small subunit ribosomal RNA", at positions 524 to 776 of the family's 1533-position model. The record is from RNAcentral.